Non-coding RNA from Mytilinidion resinicola, 93 nucleotides. Lineage: Eukaryota; Fungi; Ascomycota; Dothideomycetes; Mytilinidiales; Mytilinidiaceae. The record is from the annotation of a RefSeq genome assembly.
UCCGGUGUGGUGUAGUUGGCUAGCAUGAGUAGGUACUAGGUUUAAGGGUGGCCUUCUGCCUACAGGACCCAAGUUCGAUCCUUGGCGCCGGAC